GCCGGCGUGGCGGAAUAGGCAGACGCACAGGACUUAAAAUCCUGCGGGAGUAAAAUCCCGUACCGGUUCGAUUCCGGUCGCCGGCA
Molecule: transfer RNA, 86 nt
Filed under: Lachnospiraceae bacterium
Lineage: Bacteria; Bacillati; Bacillota; Clostridia; Lachnospirales; Lachnospiraceae
Description: tRNA-Leu
Rfam family: tRNA
About the family: Transfer RNA (tRNA) molecules are approximately 80 nucleotides in length. Their secondary structure includes four short double-helical elements and three loops (D, anti-codon, and T loops).
Source: RNAcentral